Non-coding RNA from Pelobates cultripes (western spadefoot toad), 569 nucleotides. NCBI's taxonomy places the organism in Eukaryota, Metazoa, Chordata, Amphibia, Anura, Pelobatidae. The record is from the annotation of a GenBank genome assembly.
CUGCUGUGUGAGAGGGGGCAGGUGCUGCUUGUUGAGGGGGGCAGUGGCUGCUGGGUGAGAGAUUGGGACAGUGACUGCUAGGUGAGAGAUGGGGACAGUGGCUGUUGGGCAAGAGGUCGGGACAGUGGCUGCAGGUUGGGGGGGCACGGGCUGCUGGGUGAGAAGCUGAGACAGGGGAUAGAGCAUAUGAGAGAGGCUGCUGGAUGAGAGGAAGGGCAGGGUGUGAGAGGGGACAUGGGACUGCUGGGUGAGAGGGGGAGACAGGGGUUGCAGUGUAUGGGGACAUGGGGCUGCAGGGUGAGAGGGGGGCAGGGUCUGCAAGGUGAGAGGGGCAGAGGCUGCUGGGUGAGAGGAAGGGCAGGGUGUGAGAGGGGACAUGGGACUGCUGGGUGAGAGGGGGAGACAGGGGUUGCAGUGUAUGGGGACAUGGGGCUGCAGGGUGAGAGGGGGUCAGGGUCUGCAAGGUGAGAGGGGCAGAGGCUGCUGGGUGAGAGGUGGUGGGACAGUGCUGGGAGUCCUGGGUGGUGCGACAGUAGCUUCUGGGUUAGAGGGGGAAAUAGAGGAUGCAG